RNAcentral lists this long non-coding RNA (358 nucleotides) under Vigna radiata. Its description in RNAcentral is "long non-coding RNA (VRAD_LNC009263)". The record is from RNAcentral. Lineage: Eukaryota; Viridiplantae; Streptophyta; Magnoliopsida; Fabales; Fabaceae.
CUUUUUCCAAUUCAGGGACCAAAUUGAUAAUUUUUAAAAAACAGGGACCUAAUUGAAGAAAACCAACAAAAAUAGGGACCACUGGAUCUAUUUAACCUUAAUUUAAUUUCACAAAGUUUGUUGAGUUGGGUUUUAUGUCUUUAAUUUGGUGUUGCACUUCAAUUACUUUAAUUAUGUUUAGGUAUUUGUUAGUUUUAGUGUUGGGUUUAAGGUUUUCUUUUACUUAAUGUUUUCUAUUUUUGGUAGUGUUAAUUUGACUGUGAUGUUAGCUUAGGUUAGUUGGUUGGUUAUUAAUACAAUUGCAUUGGUUGGUAGUAUUAAUUUAGUUUAUCCGCAUUCACAAUCCUCUCACAAACCC